Molecule: small RNA, 29 nt
Filed under: Bombyx mori (domestic silkworm)
Lineage: Eukaryota; Metazoa; Arthropoda; Insecta; Lepidoptera; Bombycidae
Description: piRNA piR-bmo-1712666
Source: RNAcentral
UCCCAUGAUGACGUGGCCAAAGCAUGUGC